This is a long non-coding RNA of Salvia splendens (bonfire salvia), 1390 nucleotides long. RefSeq lists it as uncharacterized. The record is from RefSeq and is a predicted model, not a curated record. Lineage: Eukaryota; Viridiplantae; Streptophyta; Magnoliopsida; Lamiales; Lamiaceae. The transcript has 8 exons.
AUCUUUGUCACAUUGUAUGCGCGCCGCAUCAGACGGGAACCCUAAUUUCAACCACCUUCUCCACGCCUCCAUCGACGAAAAAUGGCCCGUUCUCAGGCGGUGGACGACACAAGGACUCCACUGAACCACAAAUCGGCGAAAACUCUAUGCGACGAAACCCAAAUUCCUCUACCUUCUAGCCACCUCCUCCGUCGUAAAUGGAGAAACAGAGGAGGAGGACGGUGCCUACACUCCAUUAAACACCAAAUCGGUGACGGCUUCACACCGAUUGCAGUUUGAAUUUCCUUCACAAUCCGAAGUCAUCGAAGGUUUUCUUCGAAACCUUACCACGUCGGCAGCAAAAAAACCUCUCUGAAACCAGGAAAAAGGAAUAGAUCUCAUAAUAUUGUAGCAGCUAUGAUUCUCUGCCACACACUUCAAAAUCGUGAUAACAAUGGGAAAGCAUAACAAAAUCAAAGCCGACAAAUCCAGAAAAAGGUGAUGAUGUACAUGGAUUGUAAAAAGAAGUGGCAGGAAAAGAACCAAGAAUGCAUAUAAACUGUAAAAUAAGGGACUGAUCUACAAAAAUAUCAAUCAAAGGAAGCAUGACUUGAAAAAAGAUGACAUGAGCAUGGAGGCAAUGGCAGAUUCAAGGAAUUAUGCUACUGAGAGGGACAUAAAAAAGGAAGAAAAGGAAAGUCAAGAAGAUGUGGUAACAAUAGGAAAACAGCCAAUAUUACAGAAAUGACAAAAUGGAAUAUCAAAAGGAAUAAAUGAAAACCUAGAGAGAUAGCAACCGCGUCUAUCAUUGAAGGAAAUAGAGAGAGAAAUAAAACUUGCUCUCUCAAUAAAAGAGAAGGAGAAAGACACAGAUCUGGAGCAGCAAACUCUCACAUUGGAGGAAAAGGAGAGAGACACAAAUGUGGUGACUGCUGGUGUCUAAACAAUGAUUACAAAAAAGCACAGGUGUGAUCCACGUAUGAACACCUAUGGAACUCUAGCAUGAAACAAACCGUAGGAAGAGAGGAGUUAUACAAAAGGAAAAAGGAAAAGCAUGCAUGACAUGUCAGACUUGGGGGGCUCAAAGCUAUUCUAUAUCAUCAUCACAUAACGGAAUAGGGACAAAUGGAUCAAUAUGAGCUUUGGAAAUAUGGGAAAAAUAUAUUGGUAAUAGAAUAGUAUAAAAUUACUACAACCUAUGUCGAUCCUACAAAAAGGGUUGUAAUCUAUCCCCCCCUCUCUCUAUAUAUAUAUAUCUCCAUCUCUCUCUCUAUCUCGGUCUCUCUCUAUAUCUAUCUUGCUAAUUUUUCAUGUUCUAUAAUUCUGAUUUUAUUAUCUAAGUUACUUAUUUUUAAUGCUGUAAAAUUGUCAUUUAAUUCUAUGAUGCUUAUAUCACAAGUUCUUCUUGGUA